CCUACGGGGGGCAGCAGUGGGGGAUAUUGCACAAUGGGGGGAACCCUGAUGCAGCGACGCCGCGUGGGUGAAGGAGCGUUUCGGCGCGUAAAGCCCUAUCGGCAGGGAAGAAGAUGACGGUACCUGACCAAGAAGCACCGGCUAACUACGUGCAAGCAGGCGCGGUAAUACGUAGGGGGCAAGCGUUAUCCGGAUUUACUGGGUGUAAUGGGGGCGCAGACGGGAAUGCAAGCCAGGAGGGAAAGGCAGGGGCCAAACCCCGGGACUGCUCUUGAAACUGCAUAGCUGGAGUACAGGAGGGGCAGGCGGAAUUCCUGGGGUAGCGGUGAAAUGCGUAGAUAUAAGGAGGAACACCGGUGGCGAAGGCGGCCUGCUGGACUGUGACUGACGUUGAGGCCCGAGGGCGUGGGGAGCAAACAGGAUUAGAUACCCCGGUAGUC
RNAcentral lists this ribosomal RNA (440 nucleotides) under uncultured bacterium. RNAcentral describes it as "partial 16S ribosomal RNA". It matches the Rfam family "Bacterial small subunit ribosomal RNA", at positions 338 to 795 of the family's 1533-position model. The record is from RNAcentral.